Long non-coding RNA from Clupea harengus (Atlantic herring), 6304 nucleotides. Lineage: Eukaryota; Metazoa; Chordata; Actinopteri; Clupeiformes; Clupeidae. The record is from Ensembl.
GAAAAUGAAGCUGAAACAAAAUUUGAAGAAGUAAAAGAUACUGUCCAGACGAACCUGUGGUCAAGGUAUGGCAAAAAUGAACUCGAAAUGGCAAUCUUAGAAGCAGAAAAUGCCUUUGAUCAAGCAAAUGGUGUAGUUGUGGAAAGUACUAAUGUGGAGUGCUAUGAAGUGCACCUGACCCUCUUACUGAAGCGGCUAAAGGAGCUCACUCCAGUGAUGUCAGCUUGGGAGCGAUGGAUCCCUGCGUUAUCAAAGGAUGAGCUAGACAACAGAGUCAAGAAUCUGAGAACGGCUAGCAACAGGCUUGAACAUAGAAAAGCUGAAUUCGUCACUGCACGUAGAAUUGCAGAACAAACACUAGCCGCAGAAGCUUCAGGAGCUGGGAGGGGGAGAGCACUGCCCACACCAGCCACACCAAUUGUGAAGAUCAAGCCAACCACUCUGCCCAUCUUCAAUGGAUGCAAAAGAGAAUACCACAGAUGGAGGAAAGACUGGGAGAGCCUACAAAGGCAAGGAGAGCCAACGGGAUCACCUGAAGUCAAGAAAAUUCAGCUCCUGGGUAGUGUGGAGGACAAGAUUUCAAAGGACCUCAGACUUUCAACCAACAACACUGCUGAGGAUAUCUUCAGAGUCAUGGAGAACAGCCAUCAUCGCCGGCAACUCUGGUGACGUCAGCAGCAGGAUCAGCCUCUUCACCACCUUCAGCCUCACCCUCCUCUCCGUGCUCGUCACACGGCCGUGGUAGCUGCCUACAUGAAGGAAAUACGUCCUCCACAGAUACAUGAAGGAAAUAUGUCCUCCUCGAUGUGCAUUCAAUUUGCGCACCCCUGAUGCGCUUAAGGCCUGACAUACUAAAGGGUUGGACUGGACCCAUUUUAUAAUUGCAAUAAAUACUUGUAGGAAGUUAUAAUGUGUCAGUGAUAUAUGAGUAAUCUAUGUACAUGUAAUCUAUUUAAACCCUUAUUUUUCUAUAUAUUGGCCGUAUAAAAUAACUUGUGAAGAAUGUUGAUAUGUUGAAAUGAGAGAGAAUGUGUGUGUGGGUGUGUUUGUUUUUAACUAAAAUCACAAAGGUAGUCCAUAUUCUGUGAUAUCUAUGUUAUGAGUAAUUUGAAGGAGAAUAUUUCACAGGAUGGAUAUUUCUGUAAUUUUAGUUGUUGCACUUUCAGGGACUGGAGUUCACAUGUCUCCUAGAGUCUUAUUGUGGUGGUUUAAGAAAAAGAUGCCUGGAGCAGUCUUAGCCUGUAUGCCUCUGAGACGACAGCAAUAUUUAUAUGAUAAAUUAAAGAAUAAUGAUCAGUCAUCCAGUGUUUGUCCCUUUGUCUCUUUACCCAGAUCUCUCACCUGUGAUAUUAUUUCUCACACAUAUGUGAUUUAUUUGACUUCAUGUGUAAAUAAUAAGUGUGUCAUAAAGACAUGCAUUGCAUCGUAUGAAUAUGAAUGAAUGUUGGUGGUGGUCGGAGGGGCCGUAGGCGCUGAUUGGCAGCCACGCUUCUGUCAGUCUACCCCAGGGCAGCUGUGGCUACUGAUGUAGCUUACCACCACCGGUAUGACUGUGUAUGAAUGAUUACUGGACUCUGGACUCUGUAAAGCGACUUCGGGUAUUUAGAGAAGCGCUAUAUAAGAUUGAAUUGAUUGAUUGAUUGAUGUGUAAAUCAACUCACUAGGAACUCAAAACAAGAACAAUCAACAAUGCAAAGAUAUGCAAACAGCAACUAAUUCAAAACACAACAAUACUUACCUGAACACAUCAAGUUAACAAAGCUGACUAAAAUCACCUUGCCUAUGAUAACCUAUAUAUUUCACUGAAUAGGUAGAGUACAUAAAUGAACAAAGACACACUCAUGUCGUUCAUUGGAGUAUAAAGUAAUAGUAUUUUGAGUGCAUUAAGGGUGUUUUCUUAAUACCACACCCCUGUGUUCUACCUGACGGAAUGGUAUACAACCCCAAAUCAUAAAAAGUUGGAGCGGUAUGUUAAAUUAAAAUUAAAACUGAAAACAGUGAUUUGUAAAUCCUCUUUGAAUUGUAUUGAAAACAAUACAACAGCACAAUAUCUGAUGUUUUACCUUGUGAAUUGUAUAGUUUUAAAAAAAAAAUAAACAUUAAAUUCAAUUUAGAUUCUUGCAACAUAUUUAAAAAAAAACUUGGUACAGUAAAGUAUUUACCACAGUCACCAAGUGAUGAUAUGUUUUAGGUGUAACUUUGUCUAAUUCUUCCUGCAAACAAGUUUUAAGGUGUGCAACGGUUAUAUCCCCAAAGCAGAACUCGUUACAUUUCGCUGUUAUCUUAAAAUCAGGAGAUCUGUAUUAGCGCCUUUAGGCAGAGUAAACAUAACAGAAACACGUAUACAUAAACAAUUCAAGUGUGGUUAUUAACGUAACAAAAAAGUAUCAAUGUUCCUCAUCAUAAAGUCCUUGGAAACAAAUAUUUAAAGUCCCAGCGUGACCCAGUGUUCCGACAGGCCACAGUGUCGGACUCGGCCUGCUUCCUCGAUAAUAAUCAAAAAAGCUCCCGUGUGUAGACGUAAUCCAACCAAAAUAAACAAUCCUCUUCAGAAACAAAAAUAUAUAUCUAUAUUGCCACGUAAACACAAGAACAAAAAAUCCUCCAUAUUCCUGUAGUCCUUAAACUCGCUUUUUGCCCCCCCAGAAACACUGUGGCAUUAAUGACCGAAACUGAGAAGGUCGCACCUAAAAUACAGAACUGAGGAAGUUAUGGUUUUAGCACCUGCUAUUUGAGACAGCAACCUGUCAGCUGGUGGCUUAAAGGGAAGUUGUAUUGUGGGACGUGUUACGGGUCAGGACUCGGUCACGUCCGGCAGCAGUGGCAAGGAAGCCAGCAGCAGCUUGUCAACAUUUAUGUAGGCUACUCCUAUGCUUCUUUCUGUUCUUCUGGGGAAGUGUGUUUGCCCUGUAAGGCUCUGAGGUGUGUUACCGCUUCCCCGGUAUUGCCAGUAUGAAUGUGAUCGGAAUGUGCGGGUGUGGGGGCGAGUGUAUUUUUCUUCUUGUGCUGAAUAUUCUCAUUGCCUUUGCUGUCACGGAGCAAUAGCAGGGUGGUAUGACCUUAAUUAGAUACAAAUAAGUGAUGGUGUUCCCCAAGGCUUGUACCCUACCUUUAGGCUACCCUUGGGUGCACAAUACUUGAAUGCUCUCUCCCCCACCUCCCCAUCAAUUUUAUGUAUGUAUCAUGUUAUGUUUGUAUUUAUUGUGUACAUUUACCACAUGUGAAUUAGCAUGCUCAUCCUGAUACGUGUAUGAAUUAAUCUGCCAUGUUUCUGAUCGUCUCCCCUCCCCUUCUCCUCCCUCCCCUUCUGCCACAAGAACAUGUAGGGGGUAGUAGAGAGCAGGGUGUGCCUACCCCACACACAAACGUCUGGUUACACUAUGCCUAAACACUGAAAAGUAAUGGACUCUCUUAGAAGACAUAGCCUAUGUUGCUUUAGCCUGCACCAUUUAAUGUGAGAUAGACUAGCAUUAUUAUGGCCAAAAUUGUCUAUCAAAUGUUCUUGCGUAGGGUACAUGUUGUGUAUGUCUAUUUUUUGUAAGGAAUUGUCUACCUCUACACCUACGAAUGAUAAUUAUUGCGGUCACUGCAUAGUGACAUCUAUUUAAAAAUGUCAGCACAUUCAGGCUCACAAAGAAACAGAAAGAAAUACAUACCAGCACAUUCAGGCUAACAAGGAAACAGAAACAAAUAUAUUUCUGUUUCCUUGUUUGCCUGAAUGUGCUGAACAUUUAAAAAUAGAUCUCACUAUGCAGUGACCGCAAUAUUAUCAUUCGUAGGUGUAGAGGUAGGCUGUUUCUUUUUUGACCACGUGAGCCUUAUAAACGCGGCGGGAAUACAACCUUAAUCAAACACACUUUUAUUAAUACCGUGGGGCUGUGGUCGUGUCACACGCAGAAAGCAUUGGCGUGCGGGAGCAGGAAAAACAAGCCAAAGUUUAAGAAUGCCCUUGAUCAAUUUAAUAUGAGUCCCACACUUACCAGUUGUAGUGGAGCUUGUUAGUUGUGCAAAAACAUGUAUUAGUAGCCCAAGGCGAUACAUUUCUGGAAGAGAGAAUGCAAAGGCUUAUUAAGACUCGCAGCCGACAGGACAAAGUCCAGAGAGCGUUACCUUCAAGCAAAAUGUAGCUAAAUCAAUCACAACAAAAUACUUACAUACAAUUACAUUAUUACAUAAUUAUAUUUCAGUCAUAUGGUUUACUCAACUACUGUGUAUUAAUCAUACUUUUGCAGAAUUCAAUUUGUAGAAAUUCCAUGGCACUAUAACUCAAAUUGGCCAAUACUGGAAGUUACUCUUUAGCCAGAAAAAGUGGUGCUGGUACCUUAAUUUAUCAUUGUAGUGUAUAUUAUAUUAAUACAGUUAAUCUAUUGUGAUAUUUCAUUAUUUUAUAUUAUAUUAUAACCAUCUCUUUCUCAUUUCAAAACUGAUAGACAUGUCCCUCCAUCUACUGUCCACACGUCAGUGAUAUUUAUUUAUGUUUAUUUAGCAUCAGGCAUCUAUUUCCAUUUAUUCAUUUCAUCUUUUUUUUAAACAAAUUGUUUCCUGUUCCUAAAAGAAUACAGCUACCCCAGUAUAAAAUCUCUAUUCAUGGAAACACAAACAUCACUCUCCACAUUGCAGCAUUAACUUCUAAACCAUUUGUGUCUUGUACGUUGUAUUAUUAAAUCUUGCUUUACAUUUUUUCCCCCAUUUUUCUACCUUUUUUUUACUUCCACUUUUUAACUUAUUUACUUAUUCUUGGUAAUUGGUUAAAGUAUAUUAUAUCCAAAAGAAUGCUGGAUGGUGAAAUGCACAAGAUUUCUUUCCUUGUUUUUUUUUUCCCUUUCCGCUGAAUGACCUUUAAAGGUUUAAGACAUUGGAUAUGGCUCUGCUUCAUCUCUUGUGGUGUUCAGUUAAUAACAAACAUGCCUAAAUAGAUUUUGCUAAUCUUUCAACACAUCUAGCAUAGCAUUGAGCUUCCACAGCAUUCUUUUCAAAUGUGGCCAAACCUCUUAAUUGAGUCCGCCAUGUGUGUUUUACACUGCUGUUGAUUACAUGGAUCGCUGAAAGACAAAAUCUGAUUUUGAGCACUGGGUUUGAACAAGAAUAAUGUCAUCUGAAUGGUUCUGGAGUCAUGGCCCAUUUAAUUGCCAACGGUUCAGGUUAUAACCGUCAAAAAAAUAUGUUUAUAACUUAAUUAAUAAAUGCAUUUUAUAAUAGAACAUAUAGUUACAAGAUGUUUGGGUUAGGUUUAGAGAAAUAUUACUUUACGUGGAGUAUUAACUUGAGAAGUACACACUAUUUGUCCUAAAUUAAUUAUGUAUGUGUUCACUGCUUGUUUUUUUUCUGUAUGUCUUCGGUGUUAAUAAUCGGACGGCGUGUGUUAUCCGCAAACGUUCGCGUUGUCAUGUUUACCCAUUAUUAAAUUGAGCAUAUCGAUUGUUAAUCCAUUAAUAAACUUAGCAUUGUGAUUGUUUAACACAAUGGCCGAUGUUUGACAUUGAGCUAAGCUAUGUGUGUUAAUCAUAUGCCUUUGUGAGCUGAAAAAUGACAUUUCAUUUCUGUGUGUGUGUGAAAGCAAAGGCUGAUAAGAAUAACUAGUAGUCUUCUUUCUAUAUAAACCUUGUGUGAUGUGUUUAAUUUUGCUUCUCUCUUGUCUGCUGCAGUCUGGGGGGUGAUCCAGGGCGCUCUCUCUCUCUGAGAGUCGGCCCGUGCCUCUGUCUUGUCUGCCAAGACAUGAGUUAGCCUGAUGCGCUUGUUGUUGUUGAAUAAAUAUACUUAUAUGCAAUUCUGGAGUCCUGAGGUAACUUGAGUGAAUUUUCACCUAACACAGUCUUUAACUGGCCAGAAUCAGACACCACCGCUGAACUGCCAUCUAUUUUAAGUAAGGAAUUUUUUUGGGCAAGUACGUAUUGACCUGUAGUAAUUACCAAGAUAUUAGUUGGAAUGAUAAUUAAUUACAGAAUGAGAAUUAAAGAUGUUGAUUCCGGAACUGUGACCAUACAUUAGGCCUAAUGAAUGAAUGCUUGACCAAAACUGUGAUCUCUUCCAUGGGAACAGAGGUAGGAACAGCAAGAGCUCAGGAGACUAUAGCAGGGUUUCUACUUACACUGUGUGCAGAUAUGACAGUGCACAUUUUUACACAUGAUGACCUCAGAGUUGGUGAUGUGUCUUGUUUAACAAAUAAUGAUUCAUGGAUUGGAAUAUUUGAAAUGAGUCCUUGUUUUCUGCACUAAUGUGAGCAUUGAUUGCUAUUAUUCUAGAGCGUCCCUCACCAGAUGUAACCUCAGUGUCCAUGGGGGCUCGGUUUUAUAUUUAACUGUCA